This 232-nucleotide ribosomal RNA is filed under the name uncultured bacterium. RNAcentral's name for it is "partial 16S ribosomal RNA". It matches the Rfam family "Bacterial small subunit ribosomal RNA", at positions 99 to 334 of the family's 1533-position model. The record is from RNAcentral.
CGGACGGGUGAGUAAUGUCUGGGAAACUGCCCGAUGGAGGGGGAUAACUACUGGAAACGGUAGCUAAUACCGCAUAACGUCGUAAGACCAAAGAGGGGGACCUUCGGGCCUCUUGCCAUCGGAUGUGCCCAGAUGGGAUUAGCUAGUAGGUGGGGUAACGGCUCACCUAGGCGACGAUCCCUAGCUGGUCUGAGAGGAUGACCAGCCACACUGGAACUGAGACACGGUCCAG